GAAUGUGAGGGCGAUCUGGCUGCAACAUCUGUCACCCCAUUGAUCAUCAGGGACGAUUUGGCUGAUCUGGCUGGGGAGGUGGAUGUCCCCUAUCUUCCUCACCACUUUGUGUGCUUCCUUCCCAAAGUUGCAUGCUCAGUCUAAGACAACGACCUUCCCUAAUAAAGGAGUACCGUUUUGUUUUGGUUUUGUUUGUUUUUUUUUUUUUUUGGUCAAAAGUAUAUCAGUAGCUGUGCUCACCUGCUCACAACCUCCAAACAAACUCUCAAGAUCCAUUUGUAGGAGAAGGUAAGGUGGUCAAACUUCCAUAAAUUUAAAACAAACAGACGAACAAAAAAUGGUAUGU
This is an unclassified non-coding RNA of Ursus maritimus (polar bear), 346 nucleotides long. Its record names the gene 7SK. It matches the Rfam family "7SK RNA". Rfam says of the family: 7SK was discovered as an abundant small nuclear RNA in the mid-70s but a possible function has only recently been suggested. Two independent studies have found that 7SK RNA binds the CDK9/cyclin T complex (known as elongation factor P-TEFb). Lineage: Eukaryota; Metazoa; Chordata; Mammalia; Carnivora; Ursidae. The record is from Ensembl.